Bos taurus (domestic cattle) is the source of this 72-nucleotide non-coding RNA. The record is from Rfam. NCBI's taxonomy places the organism in Eukaryota, Metazoa, Chordata, Mammalia, Artiodactyla, Bovidae.
UCCCUUGUGGCUCAGUUGGUAAAGAAUCUGCCUGUAAUGCAGGAGACCUGGGUUCGAUCCCUGGGUUGGGAA